RNAcentral lists this small RNA (565 nucleotides) under Pan troglodytes (chimpanzee). Its description in RNAcentral is "retained intron". Lineage: Eukaryota; Metazoa; Chordata; Mammalia; Primates; Hominidae. The record is from RNAcentral.
AAGGUCUGGGCUACCGGCGCGGCGUAGUGGAUGCAGCAUCCUAGUUGAGGACGCCCCGCUGUUGCUGAACCUGUUUGCUUGAGUUGCUCCUGACGGCCCUUUAGGAUACUUCCGUGUCUGUAGGGUCUACAGUGACAUCUCCUCCCCUCCCCUGACGAGAUCUGCCCUCCUUGGCACUGUGCUUCCCCAGAGGGGUGGCCUCGCUGUUCCCAUGGACAUGGCCCAGGAGCCAGUGACCUUCAGGGACGUGGCCAUCUACUUCUCAAGGGAGGAGUGGGCGUGUCUGGAACCCAGCCAGAGGACCCUCUACCGGGACGUGAUGCUGGACAACUUCAGCAGUGUGGCUGCUCUGGGAUUUUGCAGCCCCAGACCGGACCUCGUCUCUCGCCUGGAACAGUGGGAGGAGCCGUGGGUUGAAGACCGGGAGAGACCUGAGCUCCAGGCAGUGCGGAGGGGACCCCGGCCAGGUGAGUGCUGGGCUGUCUGGGCUCAGCUGGCCCCGUCCCUGUGGCCCACAGCUCCUGGGUAGUGCUCAGCACGCUGCAGUGACCAAGGGUGUGUCCUU